This 468-nucleotide ribosomal RNA is filed under the name uncultured bacterium. RNAcentral describes it as "partial 16S ribosomal RNA". It matches the Rfam family "Bacterial small subunit ribosomal RNA", at positions 28 to 507 of the family's 1533-position model. The record is from RNAcentral.
GACGAACGCUGGCGGCGUGCUUAACACAUGCAAGUCGAACGGAAAGGCCCUGCUUUUGUGGGGUGCUCGAGUGGCGAACGGGUGAGUAACACGUGAGUAACCUGCCCUUGACUUUGGGAUAACUUCAGGAAACUGGGGCUAAUACCGGAUAGGAGCUCCUGCUGCAUGGUGGGGGUUGGAAAGUUUCGGCGGUUGGGGAUGGACUCGCGGCUUAUCAGCUUGUUGGUGGGGUAGUGGCUUACCAAGGCUUUGACGGGUAGCCGGCCUGAGAGGGUGACCGGCCACAUUGGGACUGAGAUACGGCCCAGACUCCUACGGGAGGCAGCAGUGGGGAAUAUUGCACAAUGGGGGGAAGCCUGAUGCAGCAACGCCGCGUGCGGGAUGACGGCCUUCGGGUUGUAAACCGCUUUCGCCUGUGACGAAGCAUGAGUGACGGUAAUGGGUAAAGAAGCACCGGCUAACUACGUG